GGGAAGAUGGCCGAGUGGUUAAGGCGCUGUGUUUAGGCAUGACGCUCUGAGAGUGUCUGGUGACCCGCAGUGCGAAAGCGCGUGAGUUCGAAUCUCACUCUUCUCA
RNAcentral lists this transfer RNA (106 nucleotides) under Drepanopeziza brunnea f. sp. 'multigermtubi' MB_m1. RNAcentral's name for it is "Marssonina brunnea f. sp. 'multigermtubi' MB_m1 tRNA". It matches the Rfam family "tRNA". Rfam says of the family: Transfer RNA (tRNA) molecules are approximately 80 nucleotides in length. Their secondary structure includes four short double-helical elements and three loops (D, anti-codon, and T loops). Further hydrogen bonds mediate the characteristic L-shaped molecular structure. tRNAs have two regions of fundamental functional importance: the anti-codon, which is responsible for specific mRNA codon recognition, and the 3' end, to which the tRNAs corresponding amino acid is attached (by aminoacyl-tRNA synthetases). tRNAs cope with the degeneracy of the genetic code in two manners: having more than one tRNA (with a specific anti-codon) for a particular amino acid; and 'wobble' base-pairing, i.e. permitting non-standard base-pairing at the 3rd anti-codon position. The record is from Rfam by way of RNAcentral. Lineage: Eukaryota; Fungi; Ascomycota; Leotiomycetes; Helotiales; Drepanopezizaceae.